CAUGCUUAAUCUAUUCAAAAUUAUAUUAAUAGGGCUCUUGUGUUGACCAAAGAAUACCUUGAGAACAAUCUAUAAAUUUCAAAAUAUUCAAUACACAAUCUGACAUCUCUUAUUUCUAUAGAAUUUUAACCGAGGAAUGAAUACUAUAUUAAGUAACGGUCAAAAAUGACAUUAAUUUAUUACAAUCAUAACCACUUUUUUUUAUCGGCAAAACAGUCAUAACCAUCGGAAAUGUAAAUUUUGUUAGUAUCAAAUUACACAUUACUCUACUUCUACCAAAAAUAGUUACACAACUCUCUUAUCAACUACUACUAUAAUUAUAGCAUAAUGACAGUUAUCAACAUUAAAAAAAGUACAAAAUAAAAGAUAUAUGGUGAUCAAACUAAACUUUGACCGACUCAACCAAAAAGGAAAAGGAAAAGAAGAGUGGUUCGAUAAGAAAUUUAAUUUGUACGUGAUCCUAGUAUUUUACCUUAUAGUAAGAGAUUUAAAAAUCUUGUGUUUCUGUGUAUAAUAAGUUUCAAUCAAGCAUUUGAUCUCUUACCACAACCAUCUUGUUCCCCUAACCAGCAGAGAAACAGCAUGAAAAUACUCCAAUUAUAUUUGAACAUUUCCUGUUGACAAAAACAAGAAGUAUCAAUAAAUUAAAUCAUUAAAUUUGCCCUGUAGUGUGUAGGGGAGGGUCCUUAUCAUAAAUGUGUUUCCAGUGUCUCCUCGGACGUAGAAAAACAAAUUCGCAAUUCCCCUGAUCAUAGCAACAUAUACGUACCAACCAAAACUAAAGCAAAAUAUUUUAUAGAUAUCGGGUGUAAAAGACACAAUGCUCCCUGUGGCAGUUGAACAAUACUCAUUAGGGAAUUUGAGAUCCUUCCCAAUAACAAACAAAACAAAGUUAUAUAUGUAUAUAAUCCUAUAAAUGAUGGGUCAAAUUGAGUAUAAGUUUAUCCUAUAUUAAAGCUGUUCGUUGCAUAGUUAAAUAAGAAUAAGAAUCUAUCUGUUUAAGACUAAAAUUAAUAGCAUUCUCAAUUUUUUAUUUAUUUAUAAAUUGUUUUUAUACCAACAAAGUUAAAAAAAAAGUCGACAAAUAAUUAUUUCUUUUGAGCAUGUUAAUCAGAAUUCAAUUCUUAACCUAUUUAUAAAAAUAAACAAUGUUAAAAGAGGUAAGCUCCACUUUGAUGAUAUCAUAUGUCAUAAAAGAAAUUAAUCUCUAGAGCUAGCUAAGUAUUGUUAGGUCAUCUCCAAUAAUGGUUCUUGAAAAAAGAUUUUAGCUUCAAGAUUUAUCUUUUUAAGAUUUAUUAUUGAAAUUGUCGGUUAGAUUUUCACAUGAAAAUCUGAUUCUUCUAUAAGAAUCAUCAAGAUCCGCACUAUUUUUUAAAAAAAGUUAUUUUUUUUCUAUCAUGCACAAUAGUUUCUUUUCUAUUUCUAUUGUGUACGAUAGUUUUUUGUUGUUCAAUGUCGAUAUUUGUAUUUUUUUAAAUAAUUUUAUGUAUUAUUGUAAGUUUAAAUUAUAUUGAUAAAUAAAUAUUUUAAUUAUUAAUAAAUUUUAUAUUUUUAUUAUAAUUUUUUAAUUAAAAAAUAUAUAAUUAUUUAUUUUCAUUAUUUUAAAAUAAUUUAUAAAUAAAUAUUAAAAGGUGGAUUCGUUGUGGGAUCUACAAAAAUGAUUUAAGAUUUCAAAAUAAAAUUUAUUAUUGGAGUAAAAGAUCUAAGAGAUCUUAAGAGUUAUGUGACACUACGAUAUCCAUAAAAAAGAUAGUUAAAAACCUAAAAUGGAAUCUCCUAGCUGAGAUGCCUUAAUGUCCCAAAAAAAUAUUGGUUUUGACUUUCUUAAUUUUUUUAUUAGAUAUAAAUAGACAAAAAUAUAGAUAAUACUUUUGACUCCAUUGAAAAAUCACUCUGAAUAAAAUUUAGAGUCUUAUGAUUAAAAGUAAUUAAUGAAAAAUGAGAAUAAAUAAUUAAAAAUGAUAACAGAUCAUCCUAUUGUUUUAUAAAAGAAAUUUCUUACAUACAAGGAGUGAGAAAAAUUAUAACUCCAAAAGAGUCUUAAUUCACAUUUUAUUUUAAAUUUAAAUACAUGCACCUCAACGUACUACAACUUCACCUACUGAAAAUUAAUAGUGCAUGCAAAUCCUCAUACAAUACAAACUCGUAUUAAAAAAUUCUCUUUAUACAAUACACUUUUUUUUUUAAAAUCUAACUACUCUAGAACAAUUUGUCUAUAUCUAGUAAGAAUAUAUGUAUAAAUUAAAAGUAGCUUAAACUAUAGAUAUUUCAAAUAAAGGUAGAUAUCUUUGUAUUUUCUUACUUAAUUUUAUUUAGUUCAGAAAACCAUUUUUUAUGACUAAGGUUGGCCAACGUAUCCGUGUACUUAAUUCCUUUCACAACAAACACCAAUUACCCUCACUUUGUCAAUGACCAAGAAUCAAAUCCUAACGGCUUCAACGGUAGUUGGGAUAUAUGAGAUUGCACGGCCAUUAAUGUCAACGGUUUGUUAAUUACUACUGCUAAUUAAAGAGAGUUUAGCUGCAUCAGCCAUAUAACCUAACCAAGUUUGAAUAUGUUGAUUCCAAGCAAUAUUGACCAAAGUUCAAUUCAUUACCUUGGACCUGGCUUCAUCAGAUCAAGUUUCCAAUCACUUAAAUCCAAUGAUAAGAAAUUAUAAAAUUGACUUAGUAAUAAAAGGAAAAAAAAAAAAGAGAAAAGUCAUAGAUUUGAUUCUUUCUAUUAAUAAAAAAUUAAUAAUUAAUAUUUGUGGAUGGAAAAAAAAAUCAAAUGAUAAUCAAUUGAUUGUUGAUUUAAUCUGCAGGUAGAGUGGGUUAUAUAUAUAGGCUGGCUAUUAUAUAUGUAAAAUAAAGAAAAAGAUGUUUAGAAUCUGAGCCUAAAUUUCUAUUCUAUAUAUGUGUGUAGUGUGUGUUCAAACAUGCCAUAGGUCACAUAGCCUAUAAGACUCCCGAGAAGUUAUCUUCUCUGGGAGGUUUGUUAAAUAUUAAACAGAGUUGUCAAAGUCUGGAUAGAAGAAUUCAUACCAGGCAUAACUUGAAGCAGUUGUUGUUGUGAAUCAUGACUGAAAUUAAGGGUACCACGGCCAAGCGUUGGAAUUGGAAAUUAACCUAGUUAGAAUCAGAAAACUUCACAUAUAUAGAUAUUCUUGCACCUGAUCAUGUAUAUGAAUCAGCCAUCUCAGCUAUAUUAAUUAUCAUUGACCAGUCCUCGUGAGACGUAUAUAUAUACCUUUCCAACAGAAUUGUUUAGCUAGAAAUUAAUAAACAACAGGCAAAUUAAUCAAGAUUCCAGCAAAUUAAUCAUCACCUCGCUCGCAAGCAACAAAAUGGUUGACUAUUAUUACCCGAAAGCUAGCAAUAGCACAAAACCAAAUAAUGAAUACAUAAUCCAUCGACCCUUUUCACUCAAUCGAUCUCAUCGGUGACUACAUGUGGCAACAAGCCAAUUCCAUAUAGAGGUUUGCUGCUGUAGGUUUAUGCACCUUGUCUAUAUCUACCCUCUUGUGUGAAACAGCUGCUACUUUCCUAGCUACCAUCUUAGUUCCAACGAGGGAUCCUUCAUCUCAGCUAUAUAUAUCUAGUGUUGAUCUAUGCAUGCACCUUGUAUGUAAUAGCAUGUUCCUCUAGCUAGGAUGAAUUAUAUAUGAUAUUCAUUACUCCGCUGUGACAUAUAUAUAUAUAGAGAGAGAGAGAGGUAAA
RNAcentral lists this long non-coding RNA (3698 nucleotides) under Glycine max (soybean). RNAcentral describes it as "long non-coding RNA (GMAX_LNC002537)". Lineage: Eukaryota; Viridiplantae; Streptophyta; Magnoliopsida; Fabales; Fabaceae. The record is from RNAcentral.